GCUCUUGUCGUCCAACGGAGAGGACACCGGCCUACGAAACCGGGAAUCGGGGUUCGAGUCCCCGCAUGAGCAC
This 73-nucleotide transfer RNA is filed under the name Streptomyces violascens. RNAcentral's name for it is "tRNA-Arg". It matches the Rfam family "tRNA". From Rfam's summary of the family: Transfer RNA (tRNA) molecules are approximately 80 nucleotides in length. Their secondary structure includes four short double-helical elements and three loops (D, anti-codon, and T loops). Lineage: Bacteria; Bacillati; Actinomycetota; Actinomycetes; Kitasatosporales; Streptomycetaceae. The record is from RNAcentral.